UGAGGAAUAUUGGACAAUGGGUGAGAGCCUGAUCCAGCCAUCCCGCGUGAAGGACGACGGCCCUAUGGGUUGUAAACUUCUUUUGUAUAGGGAUAAACCUACUCUCGUGAGAGUAGCUGAAGGUACUAUACGAAUAAGCACCGGCUAACUCCGUGCCAGCAGCCGCGGUAAUACGGAGGGUGCAAGCGUUAUCCGGAUUUAUUGGGUUUAAAGGG
This 215-nucleotide ribosomal RNA is filed under the name uncultured bacterium. RNAcentral describes it as "partial 16S ribosomal RNA". It matches the Rfam family "Bacterial small subunit ribosomal RNA", at positions 355 to 567 of the family's 1533-position model. The record is from RNAcentral.